This 550-nucleotide long non-coding RNA is filed under the name Equus caballus (horse). RNAcentral's name for it is "lncRNA (ENSECAG00000033551.2)". The record is from RNAcentral. Lineage: Eukaryota; Metazoa; Chordata; Mammalia; Perissodactyla; Equidae.
AAUGUUUGGUUCUUGCAUCUACAGCCAUAUAGCUUUUCUGCCUCUUUUGGGGAAGACUUCCUUGCUCUACUCAUUUAAAUGCUUCUGCCUUUAUGACUAUUUUAUUGCCAUACCUAUGGGGCUUCUUACUGUAUUUGCCUGUAACCGAAGGAGAUUUUAAAGGAAUUAAAUUUAUUCAGACUAAAUCUUCUGGGGCAUGCAAAGGCAUCUUAAACAAUUAGCAAUAAUUAAAAAGCAUCUAUUCAGACUGGAUAAAAGGUUGUAUUCCUCUCCCGGCUGGCACGGACGAUUGUGGUGCACGCUUCCUGCCAUCCUGCUCUGUGGUCCGCUGCUUGCGCUCACUUCCGUCCCUCACCUGACUCACGUCAGACAGACCGUCAAGAUGCAGCAGGGCUGCCGGGAGAACUUCCGGCUGUGCCCAAAUGUAAAGAAAUCAUGUGACAUAGAAGAAAGACUCAAGCCAAAGUGGAAAUCCUGGUUUGCCAUUUAUUGAUCCUAUGAUCUUAGAAACAUUAUUUAAACUCUUUAAGCCUUUUUUUUUCCUCCAAAG